Molecule: transfer RNA, 66 nt
Filed under: Dreissena rostriformis
Lineage: Eukaryota; Metazoa; Mollusca; Bivalvia; Myida; Dreissenidae
Description: tRNA-Glu
Source: RNAcentral
GUUUUUAUAGUAAAAAAUAAUACGUUGACUUUUCGAGUCGAAAAUGAGACAUAGUCUUUAAAAACU